RNAcentral lists this ribosomal RNA (399 nucleotides) under Bifidobacterium bifidum. RNAcentral's name for it is "bacterial SSU rRNA". It matches the Rfam family "Bacterial small subunit ribosomal RNA", at positions 377 to 786 of the family's 1533-position model. Lineage: Bacteria; Bacillati; Actinomycetota; Actinomycetes; Bifidobacteriales; Bifidobacteriaceae. The record is from RNAcentral.
GCGCAGCUGAUGCAGCGACGCCGCGUGAGGGAUGGAGGCCUUCGGGUUGUAAACCUCUUUUGUUUGGGAGCAAGCCUUCGGGUGAGUGUACCUUUCGAAUAAGCGCCGGCUAACUACGUGCCAGCAGCCGCGGUAAUACGUAGGGCGCAAGCGUUAUCCGGAUUUAUUGGGCGUAAAGGGCUCGUAGGCGGCUCGUCGCGUCCGGUGUGAAAGUCCAUCGCUUAACGGUGGAUCUGCGCCGGGUACGGGCGGGCUGGAGUGCGGUAGGGGAGACUGGAAUUCCCGGUGUAACGGUGGAAUGUGUAGAUAUCGGGAAGAACACCGAUGGCGAAGGCAGGUCUCUGGGCCGUCACUGACGCUGAGGAGCGAAAGCGUGGGGAGCGAACAGGAUUAGAUACC